Columba livia (rock pigeon) is the source of this 3882-nucleotide long non-coding RNA. RefSeq lists it as uncharacterized. The transcript is spliced from 5 exons. NCBI's taxonomy places the organism in Eukaryota, Metazoa, Chordata, Aves, Columbiformes, Columbidae. The record is from RefSeq and is a predicted model, not a curated record.
ACCCCAAGGCUUUUCCUAUAGGGAAAAGGGGUCGCUAGGCAGUGUGGCGUUGCUAGGGGGCGUGGAUAAGUCCCGUUCUCCCCCAAAGAGGAGCGGUUGGAGCCCAAAACCGCAACAUUGCCGACCUGCACCUCAACCGCGCCACCCUCCUCCUAUACCAGGAGAGCUUCGGGGCUGCACUGGACGGCCUGAGCCUCGCGGCUGCGCUGGCGCCCGGGUGGUCGGAGCCUCGGCGGCGCCACGCCCACCUGCUGGACUUCCUGGAGAGGCUGCGCGCCGCGAUGGCCAAUCGGGUGCGUCCCCGGUAGGGUGAAGCUGUCGGCGGGGGCUGGAAGUGGGCGGUGCCUCGAGCAGAGGCGGGGCCAGCGACGGGCUCCACCCCCUGCGGCCAGGAGCCAAUCCCGGGCACGCAAUGAGUGUGCGGGUCCUGUUCACCCUGAGCCCCCCGGAGCGUGUCCAGUUGUGAGUGACAGCUUCCAAUCAAACUAGGGGACCCAGAAGUGCCCCAGUGGACUCAGGUGUUUGGGAAAGACCCAGGAGUGCCCCAAGGGACCCAGGGGUUCAGGAGGGGACCGAGGAGUCUGGGACGGACCCAGGAGUGCGGGGGGAACUAAGGAGUUCAGGGGGGGAACCAGGAGUGCUACAAUGGACCCAGGUGUUUGGGAGGGACCCGGGAGUUCUGGGGGGGACCUAGGAGUUCAGGAGGGCCCCCCCCCCAUCACAUGACCCCGCUGUCCAUUCAGGGCGCUGGGCGUGGCCGUGGGGGGCGGGGCCCUGGCCGUGGUCACCAUGUACAGUUGGGGGGUGGGGUGGGGGAGGGGCUGUCGGUGCCCAGCCCCCACCUGACCCUGCACCAGCACCUUCACCAGGGACAGGAUCUUACAGCCAUGCAGUUGGCACGGUGCUGUGCGCAGAGUUUGCAGGUGGAGCUGCCCCACCACCGGGGACCGCUCGGUGGGUCACGGACCAGAGAAUCCCAAGUGGGUGAUGGAGAGGACGCUCGGCACAAAGCGCCUCUGCCCCGAGAUGCCAGCAUGAGACAGGAGGGUCCGUCCUCCCGUCCCACCACUCUGCAGGGGCCACAGUCCCCAGAGUCAAAAUACGGGAAGAACAAGCCCAGCCCUUCCUGCCAGAGCGGAGCAGAGCACCUCGAGGGGAGGCCCGGCCCUAGGAAAUGCCGUACAUGGGCUCCUUGGUGUCUCGCUGUCUGUCCAGCACUCUGGCAGGCAACUACUUCCCCACAGCACUCCUGAGUCUAUGAAACAGAGGUGGAAAAGGAAGGCACAUCAAAACUUCUCCCAGCUUCUCCAGACCUCUGCACUUUUCUGCUCCAGGCAGGAAAAAAAACCACUUUCUUAACGGCCUGGUUUAAAGCAACAGGACAGCACAGUGCUUGCAGGGCUGGGAUUGCAGCUUCAGGUGACACACAAACUCAGAGCAGCCCUAAAAACCCUGCAGACUCCAAGGAACUUGCUCUCCUCCAGCAGUAACGACCUUGUCAUCAGAACACGCAAGAACAGCCUGGCCAAGAGAGUGUGAACCGCCCAGCAACAGCCUCACUGCCCAGGACCUGGGCCCAACAUCCUCGCUGGAAUCGAUGGGGCAGUUCUGGCUUGAAGAGCAGGAAGAUGAAGUGAUGGCAGCCAGUGCCCACGGCAGGGAAGGGGGGCAGGUGACGGCAGAUCUUCUUCCCCGACUGCAUGUCAUUGCCUGGGAUGUUCGUCCUGAACACACACAAGUUUACUUCACUAUAUAUCCAUUCAUUUCCUUCCCUUAGGGCCAGCAGAUUCCCCCAGGAUUGCACAUCACUCUGGGCUACGUUGUGACGCAACCUAUGCCCUGUUUGACAAGCAAACAGACAGCAGAGGCUGCUUUCACUGGGAAAAAAAUAUCACACUCAGCGUUUUGAAAGCCAAACAGCAACAACACCUGAACUCCUGCAUCUUUAGCAGGACCCAGAACAUGGGCGUGAAGAAGCCACUGGCAGGAGCACCAGAGAACCACAGAACUGUCUCAGCAAAUCCUUAUUCCAGAGCUCUGUUGAAGGAGUUUCUGCCCGCUCCGCCGGGGCUUUCCCCGAGCCCAGCAGCGCGGCUCUGCCGUGCGGUACUCACACCAGCCAGUGCAGGUACUCCGAGUGCGCGUCUCUUCAACGUCCUUCUGCAACAGAGACUUCGUGAUAGGAUCACAGAAUCAUUUGGGUUCGAAGAGACCCUCAAGAUCACUGAGCCCAACCAUAACCCAACUCUGGCACUAACCCGUGUCCACAAGAACCUCAUCUACACGUCUUUUAAACUCUUCCUGGGAUGGUGACUCCACCACUGCCCUGGGCAGCCUGUUCCAGUGCUCUACAACCCUUUCCAGGAAGAAAUGUUUCCUAAUAUCCAAUCUGAACCUCCCCUGGCACAACUUGAGGCCGGUGUUCGCAUCAACCCCAAAGUGAGAACCCCCAGACCCGCUUUGAACCAACAGGGCAGCUCAAGACCACCCAGCAAUCCUUUCCUAGCAGAAGAGUAACUCGUUCUUAUAGGACUGAGCUUCAAAUGAGAACUUGACAGAGGUAAUUUCAAGAUUAAAGGGACUUCUCGGUCAGCUGCUUCACCCUGCCUCAGUUUCCCAGAGCGAGCAGUGGCAGCUGAUGCACCUGCCAGGCAGACUGCUGAGGGAGAGGAGUCUGGGGGAAAACAAAAGACGGGAGUCAGGGAAUUGCUUCCACUACACUGCAACACCGGUCCUGUCUCAUCUCUCAACUGCUAGAGCUUUGGGGAGGCUACAAUCUUUCCUGCAUAUGUAACACAUCCCUAUUCAGAUGAUACAGCAUCAUCUCUGCCUGUGCAGCCAAAAGAAACAGCAGCAAACAAGAGCAGAGGGAAACCAUCCUGUUUAAACAUGUUCUUUGUAAAGAACCUGCUACUCACCUGGAUUUGUGAGCAGCACAAUCCGCAGGGAGCCUUUAUCUGCCUCGGAUGACACUGCAGGAGGACUGGAAGCCUAAAUGAGCGACAAAACAGAAUGUCUGUCACUGAAACAACACAUUCCAUUAAGAUCAGGUCAUGAUUUUCAAGGCAAAGAACACGAACCGGUCACAGGCACAACCAGGACCCAGCACAGACCAGGCAUGGCCGCGACACCAAAUCAUCCAGCUCCACCGGAGAGCCCCCAGAGCCUUAAGAAACAUCAGCCUGCUGACAGACAGCCACCCUGUUGCAAAGUUCUGUCUUUAUCACAUCCAAGAAACAGUUUGGAUUGUCACAGAGGAAAUACUUUUCUAAACAAAAUCCCCCAGGGCAGACAAUGCCCAUGAGGAGCUUCUGAGAAAACCAGAGGCUUCCCGUGGGGCCAAGGCUGUGCCCCACUCCCCUCACACACCUCUGACGGAGUCACCAUGUUCCCAUAGCAGACCGGCACGGCGUGCUCGUCUUCCUGGCUGUACUCCACCCUCAAGAUGAUGCAGCGGGGAGUGUGGCCCCUCGGAACAAGUCACGAAACACCACACAGUGUUGGGACAUAGCUAAUAGAGAAGGGGCAUGGCUCUACUGAUCCGUUACAUCAGGAAAAUUUGUUCUGAGUUAGCGUGAGUAGGCCUCUGUUAGCAUGAGUCUGGUGUAGCAUAGUGGAAAAGUACUGAGCGGUUACUCUCGGUCAACUGAGCGUUUAGAUAAACAAGUUUAGGGAACUAUCUCCAGCAGGGUGAGGAGGUUGCAUUCCAGAGAAACCGCAGGAGGGUUGAGUUCAUUAUAUAUGCUAUCCAAUCAAUAGGUGACGAGUAGGCAUAAUUAUUGUAUACUAUCCAAUCAAUAGAUGACGAGUAGGCAUAAUUACUGUAAGUCUUAUAUAAACCAGCUUAAUGUAUCAAUAAAUUGAAGUAUGCUUUAUCACUCA